This is a non-coding RNA of Mycena polygramma, 95 nucleotides long. The record is from the annotation of a GenBank genome assembly. NCBI's taxonomy places the organism in Eukaryota, Fungi, Basidiomycota, Agaricomycetes, Agaricales, Mycenaceae.
UCCGGUAUGGUGUAUCGGUUAACAUAUGUGCUUUUCAUAAUGGUCAAUUAUUGUGGUUAACGCACGUGCGCGGGGUUCGACUCCCCGUACCGGAA